Molecule: long non-coding RNA, 1666 nt
Organism: Poecilia latipinna (sailfin molly)
Lineage: Eukaryota; Metazoa; Chordata; Actinopteri; Cyprinodontiformes; Poeciliidae
Exons: 2
Source: RefSeq, a predicted model, not a curated record
CUGUCUGCACCAUGGAGAGAAUGAGAGUGCUGCUGGACACCAUCACUGCCAUUUACCAACAAUUCAAGAAGGACCAAGCAGAAAGACAUAAGACUGGCUUCCCUCCACAGCAGGACAGGACAUGGUGGAGGUCACCAGCUGACCCCUGACCUCCUCUGUGUUUUCAGGUCUGCUGAACUUUGAGGAGAAUAGACACGAGUCUCAUAAGUAAGUAAAGAAACAUGGAUGACCAGGAUACAGCUAUCUGGUUCUGUUCUGACCCAGCCCGGGUCGGCCCGGCUCUACAGAAUAGCCAGAGUGCAUCGAGUGAAUUAAGGAUCAAAAAUAUGAGAAAUCUGAUGGAGCAUUAAAUAUUCUUUUAACCUGGCUUUAAUCUGAUGAUCGAAGCUCAGUGGAGUGGCUGGUUCCGGUUCUGACUGGUUCUGGCCCGGUUCCUUCAACUAGCAGAAGUUGGUAAUCCAAGCUAGCGAAGCUUGGUCUCUUUUCACCCAUGAGUGCUCCUUGAAGUACAGGCUCUACCUCUCAGACAGCGAGGACUGGUUGAGGUACGGUCUGGCUCUUGUCCUGGUCCCCUGGUUCUGGUCCAGUGACCCGGUUGUCCCUCUGUCUGCAGGAAGGUCCACCAUGUACAGAAGCAGCUGGCCAGCCUGUCGGCUGAGAUGAUCAGCAAGGAGAAGUUGGUGACAAUGCUGCUGGACCGGGGCAUGUAGGUGGACCCUGACCCGGAACCAUCUCGCCUCCUCGUCCUCAGGUUACCAUGGCAACCGAGCCAACGAGCCUCCUUUCCUCUCGCUCUGGUUGCCAUGGUAACCAGCCGAGCCUGUGUGUGGUUGUAACUGCAGGAACUGCUUCCCGAGACGGUUCUGCCUCUAGUUUCGAGCGUGACGAAGGCCCAGCCGGAACCCAGCCCCCGUCACAAAGGAGGAGAUGGCACUGGGGAUGAGGAACUUCCUAAGGAAGGAUGUUUUUCCAUCACCGUCAAGAUGCUGAGGGAGAAAAACGGUCCGGAUCAGAACCCGACCUCUGAGACACCGAGGGCCUUUAGCAGAACGUGUAGUCAUGGUGUUUUCUUUUAAAUACUGCCAGCAGCCCGGCUGCAUCCAUCUGUCGGGUCAGAUAAAUAUAAUCUGCAUCACAGCAUUAUGCUGCCACAAACUCUUGGAAUUAUUAGCUAAUCCUGCAGCUCAGAAUUGGCAUUAGUGGAUGAUAUUACUCGUCUAGUUUUUUGCUUUCAUUUUAUUAUUUUUAAUGUUCUAAAUAUGUUGACAUUGUUUCAGUCAUUGUAUCAAUCCCUCCUCGUCACAGUGACGGCAGACCCCCAGAUGUGCUAAAUACAUUUCUGCUCAAGCUAUUUACGGAUCUGUCAGGUUUCCAAUAUGUGUCUCCCCCACCCCAAUGAUGAACUCAUUCCUACACCCUUGCAUGUGGUGACACAACUACAGCACAGGGUUGGGGGGUAUUAGUGGAACAAGGGCUUAUAGUUGUUGCCUAAGAGACGAGCUCAAUCGCUCAGGCCGACACACUGCACUCAGCGGGUCACCCUCUGUCUGUGCUCAGGCAUCGAUCACGCAGUCCCAGGGUCUCGCCCCCUGCUUACUGAUUCUCCUCAGAUGAUGCUGGUGAUCUUCGCUACUGUAAAAUACCCAAAAAAGAAAAAGAGAAAAAA